RNAcentral lists this long non-coding RNA (628 nucleotides) under Fukomys damarensis (Damara mole-rat). RNAcentral's name for it is "lncRNA (ENSFDAG00000027771.1)". The record is from RNAcentral. Lineage: Eukaryota; Metazoa; Chordata; Mammalia; Rodentia; Bathyergidae.
GCAAUUCAAUAUUUUCUGCUUCCAGUGCUAAUAUAUUGUUGACAGCACUGCCCCUGGGCUGCUGAGGAGUGCUGCUGAUCCCCACCACCCUCUGCCUCUGGGUGCUGGAGUGAACAACAGAAAGAGGGUCUCUCUCAGGCUCCUCAGUGAAAAUUGAAGCCAAGUGGAAAAAUGAAGAAAAUCUCUGCAAUAAAGGCACACCAGACCACCAUAGUUGUUAAAUUGGAGGGAUCACCACCUCCCAUCAGAACCUGCACUAUCUUCAAGGGAAGGGUAGCUGGAACCUGCAGUAGAAUCUUGCAGAAUUCAACCCUACAGGAGCAUCAGGCCUGAUUAUUCAAGCCUGGAAAUCAGAAGAAUUAAAAAACAACUAGACUUCUCAGUGCCCACUGUAACUUUCCCUCAAUAUUGGCUACAAAGAGCCACAAGAGAUAGUUCUGGACUCAAAUCAGGCUACAGAGAACCCCUAAGAAAUAAGAAAUUUCAGCACAGGCCAGGAAUGGCAUGGGCCCUGCCCUCCAUGGUGAGAAACCAGCCCAGGGCUGUGUUGCACACAGAAAAGUCUGGGUCUGAUGUUACCAACACUACAUACUUGAACUCUUGACCUGCUGCCUACGUCCACCCACCG